This is a long non-coding RNA of Balaenoptera ricei (Rice's whale), 650 nucleotides long. RefSeq lists it as uncharacterized. Lineage: Eukaryota; Metazoa; Chordata; Mammalia; Artiodactyla; Balaenopteridae. The record is from RefSeq and is a predicted model, not a curated record. The transcript is spliced from 3 exons.
GCUAAGAAGAAAAGAGCAACUAGGCAGAAAGGAGCAGCUUAAACUUCAGGGAAAGCAGGGAGGAACAGCCUGAGCUCAGCGAGACAUGGACUUCAACGUUACUGGGGUGGAUUCUUAGCAUUCAGAGAAAAGAUGGAAGUAGGAAGACUGAAGCUCACUGGCCUGAGAGAAGUGAAGAUCCAGCCAAGAGAGGAGCCCAUAGAAAUUCUAAUCAUCUAUGUCACUUGUGCUGGAUUGACUGCAAAAACGGCUGCAAUUACUCGCCCCUUCCUAUGUAUACAUCAUUUGCAACAAGACCUUGCAGCAUCUCCCAUUAAGAGAUGUCCCUGUGGGCUUCCCUGGUGGCGCAGUGGUGGAGAGUCUGCCUGCCAAUGCAGGGGACGUGGGUUCGGGCCCUGGUCCGGGAGGAUCCCACAUGCUGCAGAGCAACUAGGCUUGUGUGCCACAACUACUGAGCCUGUGCUCUGGAGCCCACGUGCCACAACUACUGAAGCCCGCGCGCCUGGAGCCUGUGCUCCGCAACAGGAGAAGCCACCGCAAUGAGGGGCCCGCACGCCGCAAUGGGGGGUGGCCCCCGCUCGCCGCAGCUAGAGAAAGCCCAUGCGCAGCAAUGAAGACCCAACGCAGCCAAAAAUAAAUAAAUAAAAAUA